Molecule: ribosomal RNA, 459 nt
Filed under: uncultured bacterium
Lineage: Bacteria
Description: partial 16S ribosomal RNA
Rfam family: Bacterial small subunit ribosomal RNA
Source: RNAcentral
ACUACGGGAGGCAGCAGUGAGGAAUAUUGGUCAAUGGCCGGAAGGCUGAACCAGCCAAGCCGCGUGAAGGACGAAGGUGCCAAGCAUUGUAAACUUCUUUUGUCAAGGGACAAAAUCAGGCUCGAGAGCCUGACCGAGGGUACUUGAAGAAAAAGCAUCGGCUAACUCCGUGACAGCAGCCGCGGUACUACGGAGGAUGCGAGCGUUCUCCGGAUUUGUUGGGUUUAAAGGGUGCGUAGGCGGACUGUUAAGUCAGCGGUAAAAGCCCGGGGCUCAACCCCGGAGAGCCGUUGAAACUGGGUGUCUUGAAAUGUCGAGAGGUAUGCGCAAGGCGCAGUGUAGCGGUGAAAUGCUUAGAUAUUGCGCAGAACUCCGAUUGCGAAGGCAGCAUACCGGCGGCGAUCUGACGCUGAGGCACGAAAGCGUGGGUAUCGAACAGGAUUAGAUACCCCUGUAGUC